RNAcentral lists this long non-coding RNA (309 nucleotides) under Eutrema salsugineum. Its description in RNAcentral is "long non-coding RNA (ESAL_LNC002198)". The record is from RNAcentral. Lineage: Eukaryota; Viridiplantae; Streptophyta; Magnoliopsida; Brassicales; Brassicaceae.
UUAAUAUGAAAUCUUCUAAACAAUUUGGCCAUUACUACCAAAUCCGUUAUCCAUUUUCCUUGUGAAGUUGAGCACCAUAGGCUUUGAAUCUUUAGAAUCCCCUUUUAGCACAAUCUCUAGGAAGUACGAUUUGAUACACCUCUUCCUUGGCAUCGACCACCAUAUCCAUAGUCGCCGCCGCCGCCACCACCACGACGUCUACAAUAACCGCCACGUGAUUGACCGUUACCGCAGAAAGCUUCUCUUGUUUCCCCAAACUCUAGCAGAUUAGUCACGCCUAUUCAUCUCAAUAAGUUCGUCUAUUCAAAC